GAACGCAUAUUGCACCCUCAGGUCUUUUCCAGAGGGUAUGCCUGUUUGAGUGUCAUGAAAUUCUCAACUACUUUUUUAACAUUUUAUGUGUUAAGGGUGAAGUUGGAGUUGGAGGAUAAUUGCUGGCGCAACUCUUGUCUAAGGUUGCUUGUUGGCUCCUCUUGAAUGGAUGAGCUUUUCUAAUGGAUCAUAGCUCAGUAACACUAAUGUGAUAAUUAUCUACGUUAGAUGUGAAAACUAUGAGUAGAGUGGAAGCUCCUAUAGAAAAGAAGAUAAUAUGUCUUGGGUGAUAACAAACCCUUGAACUUUGACAAAUCUGACCUCAAAUCAGGUAGGACUACCCGCUGAACUUAAG
RNAcentral lists this unclassified non-coding RNA (355 nucleotides) under uncultured Pseudotomentella. RNAcentral's name for it is "sequence contains 5.8S rRNA gene". The record is from RNAcentral. Lineage: Eukaryota; Fungi; Basidiomycota; Agaricomycetes; Thelephorales; Thelephoraceae.